GGGAUAUUGGACAAUGGGGGGAACCCUGAUCCAGCGACGCUGCGUGAGUGAAGAAGUAUCUCGGUAUGUAAAGCUCUAUCAGCAGGGAAGAAAGAAAUGACGGUACCUGAGUAAGAAGCCCCGGCUAACUACGUGCCAGCAGCCGCGGUAAUACGUAGGGGGCAAGCGUUAUCCGGAUUUACUGGGUGUAAAGGGAGCGUAGACGGUAAUGUAAGUCUGAUGUGAAAGCCCGGGGCUCAACCCCGGGACUGCAUUGGAAACUAUGUAACUAGAGUACCGGAGAGGUAAGCGGAAUUCCUAGUGUAGCGGUGAAAUGCGUAGAUAUUAGGAGGAACACCAGUGGCGAAGGCGGCUUACUGGACGGAAACUGACGUUGAGGCUCGAAAGCGUGGGGAGCAAACA
This 402-nucleotide ribosomal RNA is filed under the name uncultured bacterium. RNAcentral describes it as "bacterial SSU rRNA". It matches the Rfam family "Bacterial small subunit ribosomal RNA", at positions 358 to 774 of the family's 1533-position model. The record is from RNAcentral.